RNAcentral lists this ribosomal RNA (467 nucleotides) under uncultured bacterium. RNAcentral's name for it is "partial 16S ribosomal RNA". It matches the Rfam family "Bacterial small subunit ribosomal RNA", at positions 28 to 507 of the family's 1533-position model. The record is from RNAcentral.
GAUGAACGCUGACAGAAUGCUUAACACAUGCAAGUCCACUUGAAUUUGGGUUUUUAACUUAGGUUUGGGUGGCGGACGGGUGAGUAACGCGUAAAGAACUUGCCUCACAGCUAGGGACAACAUUUGGAAACGAAUGCUAAUACCUAAUAUUAUGAUAAUAGGGCAUCCUAUAAUUAUGAAAGCUAUAAGCGCUGUGAGAGAGCUUUGCGUCCCAUUAGCUAGUUGGAGAGGUAACGGCUCACCAAGGCGAUGAUGGGUAGCCGGCCUGAGAGGGUGAUCGGCCACAAGGGGACUGAGACACGGCCCUUACUCCUACGGGAGGCAGCAGUGGGGAAUAUUGGACAAUGGACCGAGAGUCUGAUCCAGCAAUUCUGUGUGCACGAUGAAGUUUGUCGGAAUGUAAAGUGCUUUCAGUUGGGAAGAAACAAAUGACGGUACCAACAGAAGAAGUGACGGCUAAAUACGUG